Molecule: non-coding RNA, 3723 nt
Organism: Cinara cedri
Lineage: Eukaryota; Metazoa; Arthropoda; Insecta; Hemiptera; Aphididae
Source: the annotation of a GenBank genome assembly
UCCCCACACUCAUCUUGACUUAUAAUAGUAUGAUCACUGAAGAUUGAAUAACGAAUAGUGAAUGCAACGGCGCACGAGGUUCGAACGAGCCCGUUGUCGGGAGUCCGAACUCCUGAUAACCCCUGAUAAUGUCACCGCUGUACUGUAGAGACGCACACAUAAUCGCCAUUUUCACUAUUGACUGACAAAUACUUGACACAAACACACACACACACACACACACACGGAGUUCGCCGUUGAUGUUGUUUCCGGAUUUCUAAAAGUAAGUAAAUUUUAUUAAUUAAUGUCUACCUAUCCUCAGAGUUUAACCACUUACCCAUUGGUAAUGGGUUACUAUCUUUUUUCCUUCUCACGUUUACAAAUUCAAUUUUAAUGAUUCCUCUUUUUCUACUUUCCAUACAAAAGUGUGUAUUUGUGAUUUAUCCCAUGUCUUCAACUGUCCCUCGUUAUUUGCUGAACGCCAUAUUUUACGUGUCUUUCUUACCUCUUUAAAUAUUCCUUUUAAUCUUCCUGUUAUUCUGAGUUCUAAUUCUGAAUAUAUUAUUAAAAUAAUUAUCUUUUGUCUUAGUGGCUGGCUUCGUCAUUUUCUUCUUUAAUAUUAUUAAUUUUUUCUUAAACUGUAUCUGCUACUAUUGUAAAUUAUAAUUUAUUGUCGGGCUGAAUAGUUUUACAAUGCUAAAUUCCUGUGGUAAUACUCACAUGUCCACAAGCCGCCAGAAUGGCAUUAUGUCAUGCGUUGUCAUAGGGGACCGAGGGAAUCUUAACUACUUAUUAUUAUUUAUUAUAAAUUUAACCUUAGGUAUAGAGUCAGUUGGGGUAAAUGUGAAUAAUCUAAUCUCAGGGAAUUGUAAAUAAAUUAGUUAACUUUUGCGAAAUAAUUGAAACUGAGAAUUUUUUCUGAAUGUUGAUAAAUGGCCAAACUAAUUUUGUUUGCCUGUGGUCAGUAGGCCCUUUCGAUUGAUCCGUAUAAAUAUCCUGUAUGUCUUUGCAUACACAUGGCCCUGAUACAUGUUUCUAGGGUGUAUUCGCUCAUGUCUCAGAUGUUUAAAAGGCUUAUAAUCACUUGGCUUGCAAUACUAAAACAAUAAGUAUUUGGAUGUUUCAUCAACAAAAUAUCUAUAGCAAGAUAAGAGUUAUUUACGCCCACUAAAAUGGUAUACAGAUUUUAAUUUUACCUAAAUGUUCUUUUUCAAUAUAACAUAUAUUUGUAUUAUAUAAGUAAUAGUAAAACCAUUAUACAGGGGAUUACUACAAAUUUAUAAGAGUUAUAAUGAAUUUUAAAAAUCAAAUCAAAUAAAAAAUGCCUACAUAUACCUAGGUAAACUAUGUUAUAUCAUGGCUAUAUCUAUACGAUUAUACUCAAUAGCUGUGUUUAAGAUAGUAAAAUAUAAAAUGUAAUUUGUAUCAAAUAAAUAAAUUUAUUACUUUAUUUUUCUGAUAAGUAGGUAAAAUAAAUUAAUAUGAUAACACAAAAUAUUUUCACUGAAUUAUGUUAUCCAAGUCUUCUUUUUGUGAGCUUGGAUAGUUAUUAAAGUACCAAUAAAUUUGAUCUCGAUUUUAGUUAUAACAUUUCUCAUUAAACCUAUGUAUUCAUGUAAAUACUUAUAGUCUUGUUAUAAUUGUAAGAAUAUAAUUUUUAAAUUUUAUUUAUAAUGUUUUGUUACCUAAUUUAUUUAAUGAAUUUAAAAUAAUUUACAUUAAUAUGAAUUAAAGUAUUAAUCCAUUCAACAAGCAAUUCUGUAACUUGAUAUGUAACCAUUUUCAUUGCUAGUAGAAUUAAAAUAUAAAAUACAUUGAUCUUACUGAAAAAAGGAAGUUUUACUUAGUUUUUUUUUCCUUAUUAUUGAAACAAUAUUACAUUACAUUAUAAUGUUAUAUCUACUUCCUUUAAGCGGAGUUUGUGUUAGAAGUAGAAAACUAUUUAGCCAUAUUAACUAUUAGGUAAAUGUAAUUAUUGUGGAUUAAAUUUUUGGAUACUACAAUAGAAAUGUUACUCAGGUUCUUAAAUGAUUCUUUACAAUUAUGAUUAGAUGAUGAUUAAAUUAAAGGUUUUAAUCUACACAGUAUAAAUCAUUGGCUCAUUAUAAACUUUUGAUGUCAAGAUUUCUUUUUAAUGUAUACAUCAUAAUGAUAAUAUUUUGUGCCGUUAUAAAUUGUACAUUGCCAUAUUAACUUUUAGGUAAAUGUAAUUAUUCUGGAUUAAAUUUUUGGAUACAACUAUAGAAAUGUUACUCAGGUUCUUAAAUGAUAUACAUUUUUAUUGAUCUAUUUAUAAAAAUGUUCACAUUAUUAAUAAACAUACAAAGUAUAAUUGUAUCUGGGACCUUUAGUGGUUUUUACAGUCACUACUGUGUUUAUAAAAUAUAUCAUAUCUCAAUUUACCCAAUUCAUUAUGUUAUAAAUAUAAGAAAAUGAAAGAGACAAAAUAUCCAGUUCCCAAAAGCUGGAAAUAACCUUUCAAUUUGAAGAUUGUUUAUGCAAGCUUCAAUCAACCAAUUGCAUUGUGUGCUAUUAUGAACUGUCCAGUGUUUUCCUAGUAAAUAAUUUUAUAAUGAUUUUUUAUGAAUUUUCUGUUUUUUUUUUUUUUGUAUUUAAAGCUUUGAAUCAUUGUGUUAUUUUCUUAACUUUGUCAACAUAUUUAUAUUUAUUGAAUCUACAUAAGCAUAUUACAAUUGAUUUUUUCUAAUCGGUUUUUUUUUUCAGAUUUGGAAUGUGUAAAUUCCUUAUUAAUGCAGAAGCCAUAAUGAACUGUAACCCAAGAGCAGUUUAAUGAAAGAUAUAUUCCUGGAAUUUUUUCAUUAUGGAUUUUAAUUUUAUAAUGAUUUUUUAUGAAUUUACUGUUUUUUUUUUUUGUAUUUAAAGCUUUGAAUCAUUGUGUUAUUUUCCAAACUUUGUCAACUUAUUUAUAUUUAUUGAAUCUACAUAUGCACAUUACAAUUGAUUUUUUCUAAUCGGUUGUUUUUUUUUUUCAGAUCUCGAAUGUGUAAAUUCCUUAUUAAUGCAGAAGCCAUAAUGAACUGUAACCCAAGAGCAGUUUAAUGAAAUAUAUUCCUGGAAUUUUUUCAUUAUGGAUUUUGAAUUGUCUCCUCUCAGAAUAUUAAUCACAUUCAGUUUUCUUCAUUCCUCUUUAUUCUGGUGAGUUUUUUUUAUAUUUAAUUAAAUAAGGGACUAUAUUUAUUUUAAUCAUAGAUAGUUUAUAAUAUUUUGCUUGUAAAAAUUUAAUACAAUGGAUAAUAAGUUAUUUUAAGCAUAAUUAUUUUAUGGUUCACUUACAAAAAAUGAUUAGCUUACCAGAUGUCUUUAUAUUGGAUGUUUAAAAAAUACAUAUCAAUAUUUAGAUAGAUGUAGUAUUAGAAUUUUUUAUAUUCCACCCAUUUUUUUUUAUUUAAGACUAUAAUAUUGGAACAAUUAUGAUUAGAUGAUGAUUAAAUUAAAGGUUUUAAUCUACACAGUAUAAAUCAUUGGCUCAUUAUAAACUUUUGAUGUCAAGAUUUCUUUUUAACCUAUACAUCAUAAUGAUAAUAUUUUGUUUAUGAUUAGAUGAUGAUUAAAUCGGUUGUUUUUUUUUUCAGAUUUUGAAUGUGUAAAUUCCUUUUUAUGUAAUGUAUCCUUAUAUAAUGUAAUGACUAUAUGACAAUGGAAGAAACAACAUGUCCUCUGUUUUGAAAAGAACAACAUGUGUACAAUAAAAAUAAUUGAUCUACAAAUUGAAGGGUUAUCUCU